GUGAGGAAUAUUGCGCAAUGGAGGCAACUCUGACGCAGCCAUGCCGCGUGCAGGAAGAAGGCGCUACGCGUUGUAAACUGCUUUUAACCGGGAAGAAACCCCAGGACGUGUCCUGGGUUGACGGUACCGGAGGAAUAAGCACCGGCUAACUUCGUGCCAGCAGCCGCGGUAAUACGAAGGGUGCAAGCGUUAUCCGGAUUCAUUGGGUUUAAAGGGUGCGUAGGCGGAGCGUUAAGUCAGUGGUGAAAUCCUGCAGCUUAACUGUAGACUUGCCAUUGAUACUGGCGCUCUUGAGUGCGCUUGAAGGGGGCGGAAUGUGCCGUGUAGCGGUGAAAUGCUUAGAUAUGGCACAGAACACCAAUUGCGAAGGCAGCUCACUAAGGCGAUACUGACGCUGAGGCACGAAAGCGUGGGGAUCGAACAGGAUUAGAAACCCGUGUAGUCC
This 445-nucleotide ribosomal RNA is filed under the name uncultured bacterium. Its description in RNAcentral is "partial 16S ribosomal RNA". It matches the Rfam family "Bacterial small subunit ribosomal RNA", at positions 354 to 796 of the family's 1533-position model. The record is from RNAcentral.